GGCCGCGUGGCCUAAUGGUAAGGCGCUUGACUACGAAUCAAGAGAUUCCAGGUUCGACCCCUGGCGUGGUCA
Molecule: non-coding RNA, 72 nt
Organism: Phyllosticta paracitricarpa
Lineage: Eukaryota; Fungi; Ascomycota; Dothideomycetes; Botryosphaeriales; Phyllostictaceae
Source: the annotation of a GenBank genome assembly